Molecule: ribosomal RNA, 253 nt
Filed under: uncultured bacterium
Lineage: Bacteria
Description: partial 16S ribosomal RNA
Rfam family: Bacterial small subunit ribosomal RNA
Source: RNAcentral
UACGGGGGGGGCAAGCGUUGUUCGGAAUUACUGGGCGUAAAGGGCUCGUAGGCGGCCAACUAAGUCAGACGUGAAAUCCCUAGGCUCAACCUAGGAACUGCGCCUGAUACUGGAUGGCUUGAAUCCGGGAGAGGGAUGCAGAAUUCCAGGUGUAGCGGUGAAAUGCGUAGAUAUCCGGAGGAACACCGGUGGCGAAGGCGGCUUCCUGGACCGACACUGACGCUGAGGCGCGAAAGCUAGGGGAGCAAACGGG